ACUUAAAUUGAAGAGUUUGAUCAUGGCUCAGAUUGAACGCUGGCGGCAGGCCUAACACAUGCAAGUCGAGCGGUAGCACAGAGAGCUUGCUCUCGGGUGACGAGCGGCGGACGGGUGAGUAAUGUCUGGGAAACUGCCUGAUGGAGGGGGAUAACUACUGGAAACGGUAGCUAAUACCGCAUAAUGUCGCAAGACCAAAGUGGGGGACCUUCGGGCCUCAUGCCAUCAGAUGUGCCCAGAUGGGAUUAGCUAGUAGGUGGGGUAAUGGCUCACCUAGGCGACGAUCCCUAGCUGGUCUGAGAGGAUGACCAGCCACACUGGAACUGAGACACGGUCCAGACUCCUACGGGAGGCAGCAGUGGGGAAUAUUGCACAAUGGGCGCAAGCCUGAUGCAGCCAUGCCGCGUGUGUGAAGAAGGCCUUCGGGUUGUAAAGCACUUUCAGCGGGGAGGAAGGCGAUAAGGUUAAUAACCUUGUCGAUUGACGUUACCCGCAGAAGAAGCACCGGCUAACUCCGUGCCAGCAGCCGCGGUAAUACGGAGGGUGCAAGCGUUAAUCGGAAUUACUGGGCGUAAAGCGCACGCAGGCGGUCUGUCAAGUCGGAUGUGAAAUCCCCGGGCUCAACCUGGGAACUGCAUUCGAAACUGGCAGGCUAGAGUCUUGUAGAGGGGGGUAGAAUUCCAGGUGUAGCGGUGAAAUGCGUAGAGAUCUGGAGGAAUACCGGUGGCGAAGGCGGCCCCCUGGACAAAGACUGACGCUCAGGUGCGAAAGCGUGGGGAGCAAACAGGAUUAGAUACCCUGGUAGUCCACGCCGUAAACGAUGUCGAUUUGGAGGUUGUGCCCUUGAGGCGUGGCUUCCGGAGCUAACGCGUUAAAUCGACCGCCUGGGGAGUACGGCCGCAAGGUUAAAACUCAAAUGAAUUGACGGGGGCCCGCACAAGCGGUGGAGCAUGUGGUUUAAUUCGAUGCAACGCGAAGAACCUUACCUGGUCUUGACAUCCACAGAACUUUCCAGAGAUGGAUUGGUGCCUUCGGGAACUGUGAGACAGGUGCUGCAUGGCUGUCGUCAGCUCGUGUUGUGAAAUGUUGGGUUAAGUCCCGCAACGAGCGCAACCCUUAUCCUUUGUUGCCAGCGGUCCGGCCGGGAACUCAAAGGAGACUGCCAGUGAUAAACUGGAGGAAGGUGGGGAUGACGUCAAGUCAUCAUGGCCCUUACGACCAGGGCUACACACGUGCUACAAUGGCAUAUACAAAGAGAAGCGACCUCGCGAGAGCAAGCGGACCUCAUAAAGUAUGUCGUAGUCCGGAUUGGAGUCUGCAACUCGACUCCAUGAAGUCGGAAUCGCUAGUAAUCGUAGAUCAGAAUGCUACGGUGAAUACGUUCCCGGGCCUUGUACACACCGCCCGUCACACCAUGGGAGUGGGUUGCAAAAGAAGUAGGUAGCUUAACCUUCGGGAGGGCGCUUACCACUUUGUGAUUCAUGACUGGGGUGAAGUCGUAACAAGGUAACCGUAGGGGAACCUGCGGUUGGAUCACCUCCUUACCUUAAAGAA
Molecule: ribosomal RNA, 1554 nt
Filed under: Klebsiella pneumoniae
Lineage: Bacteria; Pseudomonadati; Pseudomonadota; Gammaproteobacteria; Enterobacterales; Enterobacteriaceae
Description: bacterial SSU rRNA
Rfam family: Bacterial small subunit ribosomal RNA
Source: RNAcentral